AUAUGUGUGAGAGAGCUUCCUUCAGUCCACUCAUGGGUGGUAUUGGGGUUUGAAUCAGCUGCCGACUCAUUCAUUCACACACUCAGUGGAAAGGAAGUGACAGUUCUCGCCACCGCACAGCAGCAGACAGGAGAGGUCUCGGACUUGAGCUACCUACUGUGUGAAUGAGUGAAUGAUGCGGGAGAUUAUUCUCUCUCUUCCAUUCCAUACUUGGACUGAAGGGAGCUCCUCUUUCUCAUCUU
This is a non-coding RNA of Musa acuminata subsp. malaccensis (wild Malaysian banana), 242 nucleotides long. The record is from Rfam. NCBI's taxonomy places the organism in Eukaryota, Viridiplantae, Streptophyta, Magnoliopsida, Zingiberales, Musaceae.